UACGGGGGGGGCAAGCGUUGUUCGGAAUUACUGGGCGUAAAGGGCUCGUAGGCGGCCAACUAAGUCGGACGUGAAAUCCCUCGGCUUAACCGGGGAACUGCGUCCGAUACUGGAUGGCUUGAGUUCGGGAGAGGGAUGCGGAAUUCCAGGUGUAGCGGUGAAAUGCGUAGAUAUCUGGAGGAACACCGGUGGCGAAGGCGGCAUCCUGGACCGACACUGACGCUGAGGCGCGAAAGCCAGGGGAGCAAACGGG
This 253-nucleotide ribosomal RNA is filed under the name uncultured bacterium. RNAcentral describes it as "partial 16S ribosomal RNA". It matches the Rfam family "Bacterial small subunit ribosomal RNA", at positions 524 to 776 of the family's 1533-position model. The record is from RNAcentral.